CGUGUAGGCGGUGCGGUAAGUUGGGCGUGAAAUCCCCGAGCUUAACUCGGGUGGGCCGUUCAAGACUGCCGUACUAGGGUGCGGGAGAGGGAAGUGGAAUUUCCGGUGUAGCGGUGAAAUGCGUAGAUAUCGGGAGGAACACCUGCGGCGAAGGCGGCUUCCUGGACCGUAACCGACGCUGAGGCGCGAAAGCUAGGGGAGCAAACAGGAUUAGAUACCCUGGUAGUCCUAGCCCUAAACGAUGAGCACUGGGUGUGGCCCCUCACGAGGCCGUGCCGAAGCUAACGCAUUAAGUGCUCCGCCGUGGGGAGUACGGUCGCAAGGCUGAA
This 329-nucleotide ribosomal RNA is filed under the name uncultured bacterium. RNAcentral describes it as "bacterial SSU rRNA". It matches the Rfam family "Bacterial small subunit ribosomal RNA", at positions 568 to 898 of the family's 1533-position model. The record is from RNAcentral.